UAGCUCAGUGGUAGAGCACUUGCCUAACAUGCAAAAGGCUCUUGGCUCAAUUCCCAG
RNAcentral lists this transfer RNA (57 nucleotides) under Heterocephalus glaber (naked mole-rat). It matches the Rfam family "tRNA", at positions 8 to 63 of the family's 71-position model. From Rfam's summary of the family: Transfer RNA (tRNA) molecules are approximately 80 nucleotides in length. Their secondary structure includes four short double-helical elements and three loops (D, anti-codon, and T loops). Further hydrogen bonds mediate the characteristic L-shaped molecular structure. tRNAs have two regions of fundamental functional importance: the anti-codon, which is responsible for specific mRNA codon recognition, and the 3' end, to which the tRNAs corresponding amino acid is attached (by aminoacyl-tRNA synthetases). tRNAs cope with the degeneracy of the genetic code in two manners: having more than one tRNA (with a specific anti-codon) for a particular amino acid; and 'wobble' base-pairing, i.e. permitting non-standard base-pairing at the 3rd anti-codon position. The record is from Rfam by way of RNAcentral. Lineage: Eukaryota; Metazoa; Chordata; Mammalia; Rodentia; Bathyergidae.